This 722-nucleotide ribosomal RNA is filed under the name Cytospora diopuiensis. RNAcentral's name for it is "Cytospora sp. QS-2018a partial large subunit ribosomal RNA". It matches the Rfam family "Eukaryotic large subunit ribosomal RNA", at positions 177 to 924 of the family's 3401-position model. The record is from RNAcentral. Lineage: Eukaryota; Fungi; Ascomycota; Sordariomycetes; Diaporthales; Cytosporaceae.
CUUCCGAGUUCCCUGGAACGGGACGCCACAGAGGGUGAGAGCCCCGUAUGGAUGGACACCAAACCUGUGUAAAGCUCCUUCAACGAGUCGAGUAGUUUGGGAAUGCUGCUCAAAAUGGGAGGUAAAUCUCUUCUAAAGCUAAAUACCGGCCAGAGACCGAUAGCGCACAAGUAGAGUGAUCGAAAGAUGAAAAGCACCUUGAAAAGGGGGUUAAACAGUACGUGAAAUUGUUGAAAGGGAAGCAUUUAUGACCAGACUUGCGCCGGGCAGCUCAUCAGGGGUUCUCCCCUGUGCACUCUGCCCGGCUCAGGCCAGCAUCGGUUCUCGUGGGAGGAUAAGAACGGUAGGAAUGUGGCCCCCUCUCGGGGGGGUGUUAUAGCCUGCCGUACGAUACUCCCGUGGGGACCGAGGUUCGCGCUCCGCAAGGAUGCUGGCGUAAUGGUCAUCAAUGACCCGUCUUGAAACACGGACCAAGGAGUCGUCCAUUAGAGCGAGCGUUUGGGUGUAAAACCCGCACGCGUAAUGAAAGUGAACGCAGGUGAGAGCUUCGGCGCAUCAUCGACCGAUCCUGAUGUUCUCGGAUGGAUUUGAGUAAGAGUUUUAACGGACGGACCCGAAAGACAGUGAACUAUGCUUGUAUAGGGUGAAGCCAGAGGAAACUCUGGUGGAGGCUCGCAGCGGUUCUGACGUGCAAAUCGAUCGUCAAAUAUGAGCAUGGGGGC